Long non-coding RNA from Brassica napus (rape), 2816 nucleotides. RefSeq lists it as uncharacterized. The record is from RefSeq and is a predicted model, not a curated record. NCBI's taxonomy places the organism in Eukaryota, Viridiplantae, Streptophyta, Magnoliopsida, Brassicales, Brassicaceae. The transcript is spliced from 6 exons.
UGAUCAUGUUUUAGCAAUCCAUUCGAAAGACUUGAAAGAUGAAAUUGUUGAAGCAUACAUUACAUUACCUAAAAGAUGCUUUAAAGUAUGCAUGUAAAGAGAUAACCCGUCAGUGCUGAUAAUUAGAGACACCUAACAAACAAUCCAAGCCAUUCACACCCAUCCGAGGCCACUGAAAGAGGCGUCUUAAUCCCAAGAACCACCAACAAGACAUCUGUCCUUCAAAUAUAUGAUGGUUUGAGGAUGGAGAGGGUUUUGAAGUGAAAUCAAAUUUUCAAUAUUCAAGUUUGCUUCAUGCCGCACCCAACACUCAUUUUCCGAAUGCAACGAUGUUAUUGAUUCGCGGUUAGUUCUUUAAAAAAACUUAUGGUUUCGAGCUUUUCAAAUAAACUAAAUAAUCCGCAGAUAAAGAUUGUUGUCGUCUUCUAAAAUCCUCAAUUUUUUUUUUCCGCUAGAAUAGGAAAGAACUUGGGUGAAGGAGUGGAAGCCAAACACACAUAUUUGUAAUGCAAGAUAGAAUUUAAAUAUACUAUGGUUUAGAAAUUUUUACAUGUGCUCCACAUAAACAGAACCGGUCCUGGGCAAAACUUAACGAAACAUUGGCAUUAGACCCCCAAAAAUUUUGGAAAAAAUUACAUAGAAAAAAAAUCCCAAAAUUUUUUUUAAGCCUCUUUACCAAAAAAAAAAAUUAUAACUGGAAUUUUUUAAAAACCACCUACAAUCCCCUAAAUCUCAGGGCCGGCCCUGCACAUAAACAGUGAUUAUCAAAUUUCUCUCUUUUUUUAAUCAAAGAUAUCUCAGACUUUUAUGUUUGAGAUAUUUUGAACCAUAUAGAUCAUGCACAUAAAUAUGAUAAGAUUUCUUUUUAACACCGGAUAACACAUUUCAUGAUAAUUAAAUCUCUAAUUCUAUUACAUAUGAUCAGUUACCUGUAACACAUCUUUGAUAGACAUGAUCUCUCUGCAGCAACAAACGACUAUAACGAACAGCUUUGUUUACGGUACUCUGAAACCUGCUAUGCAUUUACAUCUUUAUAAAUAAAGUUGGCUUGAGUCUCUCCUCAUGCGUCGAGAUAGGGGUUUUUUGUGACACGUGGAUUCCUAAAAAUGAGAAAGCCUCUUUCUUUUUUUCGAUCAACAUGAGAAUGCGUCUUUGAGCUUUGGUUGGACUUUUUGACACACUUUAGGGUUGGGCUUUUGCAUAGCCCAUUGAAAAUCAAGGUUCUUCUUCGUCUUCUCACGUUUCUCCUUCUAUGGCAAAUUUUAAAACGUUUUGAUCAUCUCUCCCUAAUCACCUUGCAUUUAAAACGUCCUUAGAUCCGAACUUUAAUAUGAAACAAAAGUACAGUCCUUUUACUCUGUUCCAAUUUCAGACCUUCUGGUUUUCUGCUAAUUUUUUCAUCCCCUCAUGCCAAAUUCUCCGAGUUGAAAGCCGGCAACUACAAACAAAUGGUUCAGACAAGACUCCUUUGAUCCUGGGAAGCCCGUACUCAUCGGCGUUUAUAUGCUCCUCCUUGAUCCAAAGGCAAUCGAUUUCACACACCAACCAUUUUCGGCAGACCCUACAGGACUGAGUUUCUUACAAUUAUGGCAGAAACAGACAUGUCAAUGAAGCAUUGAUUUAGUUGGAAGAUAAACUGACGCUAGCCAAAUCAGAAUUACUUGCUAGCAAAAGAUCAGUGCAAAGAGAUCUCCGGUUUAGAUUAUCCAAGCAUCAUAGCUUUGUGUUUUGGGUUUGGAUUCCUGAGGCGAAAGGGGUUGUUCGUGUGUAUUUAAGAGAUUGAUAUCAUCUAUAAACUUAAAAGAUAAGAUGAUACUAUCCGAAGAGUUUUUGCUGGUGCAGUUGUCAACCAAUGAACGGUAUCCAAGUUCUCAAGAAAGUUAAGGAAAAGAUAAAGAAGAUAAAUAAUGUUCUUACUAAACAUAGACAUGGUCAUGGUCAUGAGCAUGAUCGUGGAGAACAACACAUCCCCGACGACCACGAUCUAGACGACAAAGAUGCUGAAGAGUAUGACGUAGGCCAAAUUUACCAACAAGGCCACGGUGGUGCACCAGGUAUGUCCAUUCCUUACCUUACUUCACUUUCUCUACCAGUUACCUUUUGGUAUCUACGGUUUAUUGGAUUUGUGUCGAGGAAAAGCUUUUCAUGUCAUGGAAACUUCCCACACUAAAGUCUCUGAGCCAAUUAAAGCAGUGGAACCAGUACGAGGCCCCAAUACCUCUCACGGACACGAAGCUCUGCCUCAUCAUGCAAGACCCUUAGGUGCUCUCUCUGACAGAAGAUGUCACUAGAACGUUUGUUCCUGGUGAAAAACUUAGAGUCAACAUCGAGAGAGACAGAGGAAUGGAGGAAGGGAUGACUGCUCAGGUCUUUGUGGGAUGUCGAAUUAUCAUUCCAAAGUCACUUUUCACAUCGGAAAAAUUGGAGCAGCACAGCUCUUGCAAAGAGGAAAGGAACAUGUGAUGAUGUUCAACUACUCCUGGAAGAGAGAGGGGAUACAAUACAAGAAGAACCAAGUGAGUGCUUUUUUUUAUAGAUUACUUAGACGGACUUGGCUGAAGCUAUUGGUGCUUCCCUCCUUCAGGUCAAUAGGUGGUUACAUGUCUACGGACAUGUUGAAAAGUGUGUACGCAUUUCUGACUGUGAUAUCUUUGGGAUCGUACGAACUUUCUCUUUAUGUUUUCGUACCCACGAAAACAUUUUUUUUUCUACAUGGUUGAUUGGGCAAGUAAAUGUAGAAUAGUGCAGAAAGAAUAGGAAAAUAUGAAUAAUAUUUUAGUGAUUGUAAAUCCUCUUUUUUUUUUUUAAUUUAUCUC